Molecule: ribosomal RNA, 253 nt
Filed under: uncultured bacterium
Lineage: Bacteria
Description: partial 16S ribosomal RNA
Rfam family: Bacterial small subunit ribosomal RNA
Source: RNAcentral
UACGGGGGGGGCAAGCGUUGUUCGGAAUUACUGGGCGUAAAGGGCUCGUAGGUGGCCAACUAAGUCAGACGUGAAAUCCCUCGGCUUAACCGGGGAACUGCGUCUGAUACUGGAUGGCUUGAGAUUGGGAGAGGGAUGCGGAAUUCCAGGUGUAGCGGUGAAAUGCGUAGAUAUCUGGAGGAACACCGGUGGCGAAGGCGGCAUCCUGGACCAACACUGACACUGAGGAGCGAAAGCCAGGGGAGCAAACAGG